This 696-nucleotide ribosomal RNA is filed under the name uncultured bacterium. RNAcentral describes it as "bacterial SSU rRNA". It matches the Rfam family "Bacterial small subunit ribosomal RNA", at positions 32 to 715 of the family's 1533-position model. The record is from RNAcentral.
AACGCUAGCUACAGGCUUAACACAUGCAAGUCGAGGGGAAACGACAUCGAAAGCUUGCUUUUGAUGGGCGUCGACCGGCGCACGGGUGAGUAACGCGUAUCCAACCUGCCCAUCACUUGGGGAUAACCUUGCGAAAGUAAGACUAAUUCCCAAUGAUAUCUCUAGAAGACAUCUGAAGGAGAUUAAAGAUUUAUCGGUGAUGGAUGGGGAUGCGUCUGAUUAGCUUGUUGGCGGGGUAACGGCCCACCAAGGCGACGAUCAGUAGGGGUUCUGAGAGGAAGGUCCCCCACAUUGGAACUGAGACACGGUCCAAACUCCUACGGGAGGCAGCAGUGAGGAAUAUUGGUCAAUGGGCGAGAGCCUGAACCAGCCAAGUAGCGUGCAGGAUGACGGCCCUAUGGGUUGUAAACUGCUUUUAUAAGGGAAUAAAGUGAGUCUCGUGAGACCUUUUGCAUGUACCUUAUGAAUAAGGACCGGCUAAUUCCGUGCCAGCAGCCGCGGUAAUACGGAAGGUCCGGGCGUUAUCCGGAUUUAUUGGGUUUAAAGGGAGCGUAGGCCGGAGAUUAAGCGUGUUGUGAAAUGUAGAUGCUCAACAUCUGCACUGCAGCGCGAACUGGUUUCCUUGAGUACGCACAAAGUGGGCGGAAUUCGUGGUGUAGCGGUGAAAUGCUUAGAUAUCACGAAGAACUCCGAUUG